RNAcentral lists this transfer RNA (77 nucleotides) under Candidatus Omnitrophota bacterium. RNAcentral describes it as "Candidatus Omnitrophica bacterium tRNA-Val". It matches the Rfam family "tRNA". Rfam says of the family: Transfer RNA (tRNA) molecules are approximately 80 nucleotides in length. Their secondary structure includes four short double-helical elements and three loops (D, anti-codon, and T loops). Further hydrogen bonds mediate the characteristic L-shaped molecular structure. tRNAs have two regions of fundamental functional importance: the anti-codon, which is responsible for specific mRNA codon recognition, and the 3' end, to which the tRNAs corresponding amino acid is attached (by aminoacyl-tRNA synthetases). tRNAs cope with the degeneracy of the genetic code in two manners: having more than one tRNA (with a specific anti-codon) for a particular amino acid; and 'wobble' base-pairing, i.e. permitting non-standard base-pairing at the 3rd anti-codon position. The record is from RNAcentral. Lineage: Bacteria; Pseudomonadati; Candidatus Omnitrophota.
GGACGCGUAGCUCAGUCGGUUGGAGCGCUGCGUUCACAUCGCAGAGGUCACAGGUUCGAGUCCUGUCGCGUCCACCA